Molecule: ribosomal RNA, 397 nt
Filed under: uncultured bacterium
Lineage: Bacteria
Description: bacterial SSU rRNA
Rfam family: Bacterial small subunit ribosomal RNA
Source: RNAcentral
GACGAACGCUGGCGGCGUGCUUAACACAUGCAAGUCGAGCGGUAAGGCCCUUUCGGGGGUACACGAGCGGCGAACGGGUGAGUAACACGGGGGUGACCUGCCCUCAGCUCUGGGAUAAGCCCGGGAAACUGGGUCUAAUACUGGAUAUGACUCCACGGUGCAUGCCGUGGGGUGGAAAGCCUUGUGCGGCUGAGGAUGGGCCCGCGGCCUAUCAGCUUGUUGGUGGGGUGAUGGCCACCAAGGCGACGACGGGUAGCCGGCCUGAGAGGGCGACCGGCCACACUGGGACUGAGACACGGCCCAGACUCCUACGGGAGGCAGCAGUGGGGAAUCUUGCGCAAUGGGCGAAAGCCUGACGCAGCGACGCCGCGUGAGGGAUGACGGCCUCGGUUGUAAC